AUGGAGAGGAAGCUGCGAGGGAUGCUGAGAAAGGGCGGCGGGGGCCUCGGAGGGAAGCUGGGGAAACGCCGCGGGGCAGCCGAGGCCGCCGGCGCCCCGGGAGAAGGUGCAAGUGGAGCGGCGCUGGGGGCGCGGGCGGGCGCUGGGCCGCGGCGGGGCCGGCCUGGGGGUGCGCCCUGGGCUCCUUCUGGACCCGCCCGGCCGCGCAGGGGCUGCGGCCUCCACGCGGGCGCCCUCGGUUCCGCCUCAGCUCCCAGCCGGGCCGCCUUCUCCCCGGGCACGCGCAGCCUCCCGCACCGGGCUGCCCCCUCGCCGUCCCUGCCCUCUCCUUUCCCGCCGCCCACGGGGCCUGGGCCCUCCCCGCCCGCUCCUCCUGCGUCCACUUCGGCGUUCCCGGUUCCGCAGGCGGCCUGUCCUGCCGGCCCCUCCGUCUGCCACCUGGCUUUGUGGGGAACUAGAGCACACACCACACACCGGAGGCGGGAGGGAGGUGGAGGAAGGGAAGGCAGCUGCAGGGCCGACCUGCGGGGUGGGAGUGGGGGGUGGCUGGGGGCGAGAGGCCGGGGGCUCGGGGCCGCAGGGGUUCGGCCUGGAGGAGCGUCGUGGGCGCGCCGGGGCCGCGAUUCCCACUGGGCGGGUCGGCUCCGCAGCCGCUGCGCUCGGAACCCCCCCGGCGCCCCGCAGUACCCGGCGUCCUUCCUGCCUCCUCCGAGCCCCUGUCCUCCGUCCCAGCCCCAGUCCCGCCGACCCUGCCGGCGCCUCCGCCCUCCCGCCCUCGGCCUUCCACGACCUCGGCGCGACGCGCGCGGGACCCAGUGGAGGCUGCUUUCGCGCAGGCCGCCGUCCAGGGCGGGGAAGGGAGCGGACCCUUCCGGCUGCAGGUGCCUGGGCCCCCGGCGGCCUCGCCCCACACCGCCAGCCCACUGGCCUCGCCUUCGCGCGGGGGCACAGGAGGCACUCGGCCCAUCGUCCCCGCUAACCGAGUUCCCCUCCACCCCGCCCGUCGCCAGCGCGGGUGCCCUUCCCGCCCGUCGCUCUCCGAGAAUGCGCCCCGUGGCCCGCAGGCCGCGGGGUCUGGAGGAUGGAGGGGUGGACCCCGCAGAGGGUCGCGCCGCCCUCCCUCCCCUCCCCUCCCCUCCCGCGGGAACAGCCCCCGGGACCGCCCCUCGCUCCUGCCGGGGGUGGGGACUGAGCUUCCCCGAGGUGUGCGGCUCCGGAGAGCUCGUGCCCUCCAGCUGGACCUCGCUGCCCGUUUCCAGCCGGCCAAGCCAUCAGCUGGUUCGUUCGCUUUCUCUUUCCCGCACAGGGAAAAGCAGCCUGAGUCGGGGAGCGGACGGCUCGGGACGGUCCCGGCGCGCGUAG
This 1362-nucleotide long non-coding RNA is filed under the name Papio anubis (olive baboon). RNAcentral describes it as "lncRNA (ENSPANG00000041606.1)". The record is from RNAcentral. Lineage: Eukaryota; Metazoa; Chordata; Mammalia; Primates; Cercopithecidae.